CUGGGACAUGGGCUUGCAGUGCUGUUGGCUACCCUAAAAGCCUACAUCUCUCUGCUCAAGGACCUUGCUCAGCCGGUUACUACUGUGAGGGGGGCGCCUCUAGCUCCACUCCCUGGAGAAACUCUGCCUUCCCCCUCAACGGGCCUUGCCCUAGAGGCCACUACUGCCCACAGGGGACCCUGCAUCCUGUUCCCUGCCCCGUGGGGAAGACAAGGAGCAGCCCAGGCGGUGUCUCUGAGGAGAGCUGCAAGCCCUGCCCAGCUGGCUCCUUCUGCCCGAGCCUGGGCCUUGGCUCUGCCCCUGGCUCCUGUGCGGCUGGCUCUCAAUGCCCCUUGGACGCCAGGGCCCCUAGUCCCACUGCUCUGCUCUGCCCACAGGGCCACUCCUGCCCACCCGGGGCUGCUCGGCCUGCCCUGUGCCGUCCCGGAGAGUACCAGUCCUCCCUGGGCUCAGACGCCUGCCUCCAGUGUCCACCUGGCUUUUACUGCCCGCAUCCUGGAACCAGAGUGCCCCAGCUCUGCCCAGCCCACGCCUACUGCCCAGCCGGUAUGCCCAG
Molecule: long non-coding RNA, 556 nt
Organism: Bos indicus x Bos taurus (hybrid cattle)
Lineage: Eukaryota; Metazoa; Chordata; Mammalia; Artiodactyla; Bovidae
Source: Ensembl